This 482-nucleotide ribosomal RNA is filed under the name uncultured bacterium. Its description in RNAcentral is "partial 16S ribosomal RNA". It matches the Rfam family "Bacterial small subunit ribosomal RNA", at positions 30 to 507 of the family's 1533-position model. The record is from RNAcentral.
AUUGAACGCUGGCGGCAUGCUUUACACAUGCCAGUCGAACGGUAACAGGCCGCAAGGUGCUGACGAGUGGCGAACGGGUGAGUAAUGCAUCGGAACGUGCCCAGUCGUGGGGGAUAACUACUCGAAAGAGUAGCUAAUACCGCAUACGAUCUAUGGAUGAAAGCGGGGGACCGUAAGGCCUCGCGCGAUUGGAGCGGCCGAUGUCAGAUUAGGUAGUUGGUGGGGUGAAGGCUCACCAAGCCAACGAUCUGUAGCUGGUCUGAGAGGACGACCAGCCACACUGGGACUGAGACACGGCCCAGACUCCUACGGGAGGCAGCAGUGGGGAAUUUUGGACAAUGGGCGCAAGCCUGAUCCAGCAAUGCCGCGUGCAGGAAGAAGGCCUUCGGGUUGUAAACUGCUUUUGUACGGAACGAAACGGCUCUGGUUAAUACCCGGGGCUAAUGACGGUACCGUAAGAAUAAGCACCGGCUAACUACGUG